Molecule: transfer RNA, 71 nt
Filed under: Phrynosoma platyrhinos (Desert horned lizard)
Lineage: Eukaryota; Metazoa; Chordata; Lepidosauria; Squamata; Phrynosomatidae
Description: tRNA-OTHER
Source: RNAcentral
GCCAUCAUGGUGUAGUGGUUUGAGCAUUGGACUAUGACUCUGGGGAACAGGGUUCAAAUCCCUGCUUGGCC